This 467-nucleotide ribosomal RNA is filed under the name uncultured bacterium. Its description in RNAcentral is "partial 16S ribosomal RNA". It matches the Rfam family "Bacterial small subunit ribosomal RNA", at positions 28 to 507 of the family's 1533-position model. The record is from RNAcentral.
GACGAACGCUGGCGGCGUGCUUAACACAUGCAAGUCGAACGGAAAGGCCCUGCUUUUGUGGGGUGCUCGAGUGGCGAACGGGUGAGUAACACGUGAGUAACCUGCCCUUGACUUUGGGAUAACUUCAGGAAACUGGGGCUAAUACCGGAUAGGAGCUCCUGCUGCAUGGUGGGGGUUGGAAAGUUUCGGCGGUUGGGGAUGGACUCGCGGCUUAUCAGCUUGUUGGUGGGGUAGUGGCUUACCAAGGCUUUGACGGGUAGCCGGCCUGAGAGGGUGACCGGCCACAUUGGGACUGAGAUACGGCCCAGACUCCGACGGGAGGCAGCAGUGGGAAUAUUGCACAAUGGGCGGAAGCCUGAUGCAGCAACGCCGCGUGCGGGAUGACGGCCUUCGGGUUGUAAACCGCUUUCGCCUGUGACGAAGCGUGAGUGACGGUAAUGGGUAAAGAAGCACCGGCUAACUACGUG